Brassica napus (rape) is the source of this 7268-nucleotide long non-coding RNA. RefSeq lists it as uncharacterized. The record is from RefSeq and is a predicted model, not a curated record. The transcript is spliced from 3 exons. Lineage: Eukaryota; Viridiplantae; Streptophyta; Magnoliopsida; Brassicales; Brassicaceae.
GAGCUUGCAAACAUGUGUCGGACGAGCUUUAUCAAUGAAUCCCGCCGGUUGCAGCAUGUAAACUGUUUCUUUCAAAUCUCCAUGUAAAAAUGCGUUACUCACGUUCAUUUGUUUGAUCUCCCACUUCAUUAUUGUCGCAAGAUGAAGGACUAACCAAACCGUAGGUGUCCUUACUACUGGACUGUAAGUCUCAAGGUAAUCAAUCCCUUCUUCUUGAUGAUUUCCUCUUGCAACCAUUCUAGCUCUUCUCUUCUUCAAAACACCAUUCUCAUCCAACUUUGAUUUAUAAAUCCAUCCAUUUCCAAUAACCUUCAUAUCUGAUGUAUAAGGAACCAGCGUCCAAGUAUUCGUUUCAAUGCAGUUGUCGUAUUUUUCUGUCAUAGCUGCAUUCUAGUAUUCAUCUUUUAGAGCAGCCGUGACCGUCUUUGGUUCUGAAUAGGCUACUCUGUUGUUAAACAACACAUAUCUCUGAUUUGGUUUUGUGAUUCCUGAUUUUCCUUUAGUAACCAUUGGAUGAGCAUUUGAAACAGCAGGUACUGAUGCUUGCGGCUGAAUAUUUGUUUCACUUGAAACUUCGUUUUGUGUACCUGCAGAGCCACUUUCUUCAUGAGGUUGAUGUGUGCUCGGUGAAUCUGUGGUUGAAGGUUCUGAUGCCGUGUUCUCUGAAUUAGUAGGUUAAACCACAGGUGAGGGAGAUUGAGAAAUAGUAGGCAUCGUUGGAGGAGGAACUGCUCUCGUUGAAAUUGAUGUUUGUGUUUGUCGUCUCUUUGGCUCAGACACUUGCUUUGAUGUUGGUUCAACUGUGGUUGCAGGUGUCGGUUGUGUCUGUUGUAUACUCCGGAACCAGGCUUCAUACAGAGGAGUUUUUGAAUGUUGGUGAACCUUCGCAUAGGUGUCAGAGAAAGGAUAUGUGUGUUCAUCAAACAGAACAUGUCGGCUUAUGUAUACACGACCAGUAGUGGGAAAAAGACAGCGAAAACCUUUGUAAUUCUCACUAUAUCCCAAGAACACACAUUUCAACGACCGUGGAUCAAAUUUGUGUGCCGCAUAGUCUCUUAAGGUGGGGUAGCAAGCACACCCAAAACUUUGCAACUCUGAGUACACUGGUACUUUGUUCAGUAGUUUCUCAAAUGGGGACAUCUUAUUGUCCAAAGCUGACGAUGGGAGAAGAUUAAUCAGAUAAUUAGCGGUAGAAAAAGCUUCAACCCAAAACUUUUGUGGCAUCACACUGUGGAACAUCAUCGAUAAACCAAGCUCCACGAUGUGUCUGUACUUCCUCUCUGCCAUGCCGUUUUGUUGAGGUGUGUGUGGGCAAGAGAUGAAGUGUUUGAUUCCAUGAGAUUGCAGGUGUUGUCGCAGCAGAUUACUUGUGAACUCACCACCCCCAUCACUCUGAAACACACUGAUCUUGCAUCCAAAUUGAUUCUCAACUCGAACUUGAAAGAUUUUAAAUACUGACACUACAAGAAAUAUGAGUAUCAGUAGCAGUUCGCGGUAGCACGAUUUCACAAACUGCUACCAAAAGUGUUAAAAUCGGAUCACAACUCUAUUGUAGCAUUAAAAUCGCGCUAAUAAAAAAUUUCAUUAAGCGGGAACAUGAAAACCAAUACUUUAGUUGAAAAGUGAUUUUAGAGUAAAACACUUGGCCAAUUUUCAGCUUUUUUUUUUUUUUGUUCUCACUCACGACACAAAUUUUUUUUUUUUUUACUUGAAUCGAUCUACCUUCUUCUUCCAUCUGCUUCAGUUGUAAACCUCAGACUAGUUUUUGUAAAAGAUGAACGAACUGGGUUCUUCUCUAAUCGAAAACACCAUCGUCACUUUGUUCAAAAUCGAAACUUAGGAACCCUAAUCCGCCUUCUGUAAUUACUCCUCCGCCUUCCUCUGUCGCUCUUCACCACCAUCUUCUCUAGAUUCACACUCUCAUUCUCCCUCCUCCACUGGCUACGACAAUUCGAGCUCGACGAUUGUUCUCAAGAAAGAAGAUGAAUUUGUGUUAUCAUAUCCACUCCUCUGUCCUCAAGCUUCCCCAUUUCUUCACUCCAAAGGUCUCUUCUUUCUCUAUCCCUCUCUUUCGAGCAACCCCUUUACCCUCUGCGCGUGAUUGGUCACCGAUAAACAAUCAAGUUUAACACUUUCGAGUUUUUUUCCAUGUCUCAGAGCUUUAUGGCGUCUCAUCGGCGAGAAUUGAGAGUGUUCACAGUGGCAACAACCACAGAAGAGGCGUCUGGUAACAUAUAAGACAGCUCCAAUAUCUCUACCUGAAGGCUCGUGGAAACAGGUAGAGAGAUCUUCUUGAUUCUCUUAAAAGUUUGAAAGAUUGAAUCUUUCUUGUUUGUUUAGGUAGCUGGUGGAGUUACAGCUGCUGGUAUGUAUGCUGGAUUACGGGCGUCAGGGAAGAAGCCUAAUCUUGCUCUUGUAACCUGUGAUGUCGGUGCUGUAGCUGCAGGUCCAAAUGCUAGCUAUCUUUGUGGUGCUUAAUAUUUAUUCAGUGGCAAAUACGUUUCUGAUUUUAUUUUAUUUUUUUCUGUCAGGGGUGUUUACAAUGAAUGUGGUUGCUGCUCCUGUAGUUUACUGCAAGAAGGUUCUUGGUUCCUCUGAGGUAAGACUCUUUUCUUUUGGCUCAGCUUGAUUGGAGAGAGUCAAGAUUAAAACAAUUGAGUGUUAACCCUCAAAGCAUGAACACAGUCUAUGGCUUAUUUUUUCCAUACACUAACAACUAAAGAUGUGGGCCAAGAGUUUGUAGUGCUUGUACUAAUCAGCACAGUCUGCUACUUCUUAUUCCUUGAACAUUUACUGGUUCGUGACUUGAAAUCAUAAGCUAUCUUAUCGCCAUUUUCAUUCACCUUAGGACGAAGCAGAGGUUUCGGGUUCGUGACUAUGUCUUCUGUCUGAAGUUGAGGCAGCUGCUCCGCAGUUUAAUGGCUAUGUAGGAAUAUACAUAUACUCUUAACAACACUUAUUUCUCAGGCUCUAGAGAGUGUAGAUAAAGCUCUUGUGUCUCGACUAGUAGUAAGAGUAUGUGUAGCAGCUGGAGCAAUGGAGAAAAGCCUGUGCCUCGACAAUAUCUUGGGAUCGGUUGUUGUGUGAGCAAAAGGGCCAAGAGAACGUUUUCAGACCACAUCCUCUCACUGCAGAGCUUGGCCUAUAUACCAAAUCGUAUCAUCACCAGCGGUAAGAGCAGGAGCUCUUACAUUUUCACUCAACAAAAACGUAGGGGUAUCAACCAGGGCGCCAUGAUUGUGUGGGAAGUGAGUUCUUCCUUCUCUCGCUCUCUCUCUCCUUUGUAUUUCUAGCUGUAUAAAGAGAGGCGUUGUGCUUGCGUUUGUUGGAUUUUAUGUCUGAGGAUGUGACCUUUUGUUGUUUAUUCGAUGGUUGCUCCUCUCUGUCAUCUUGUUGCUUGAGUGAUAGAUUAACAAGAUGCUUGUGUCUGGAAGUGAAGAUGAUAAGUGUAAGACUUGAAAAGAUUCUAUGUAAAAUAUAUGUUUUAUAAGUUUAUUGAAUAUAAUUUUGAGCUCAGUUCAUGGACUUGGAUCAAACCAAGGUCAAAAGUGAUGAACUUUUGUUUUAAGGCAAGCGUAAAAUGAAGAAGUAAACAAAAUGUUUAAACCAAAUAUAAUUUUGUAAACCAAUUUUGGAACCGGUUAAAAUUUUGUAAGCACAUUCAGAUUUAUUAAAAAAAAUUUUUUUUUGUUUUUUGUGGUUUUUGAAAAAAAAAGCAAAACCCUAAACCCUAAACAUGUUUUUAAACCCUAAAUAUGAGCUUUAAACUUCAGUCUUUUCAUAAUAUAACUCUAAUCUUAAACUCAAAAUUUAAUUAUUUUAAAAAAUCUUAUGUCAAAUUUAAAAUCUAAAUCUUAAAACCGCAACCUAAAUACAAUACUCUAAACCCCAAAUUCCAACGGUAUAUACAAAGUCAUGAAUAUAAACUAAUAGUCAAUAAUGGUAGUAUUAAUUAGAAGAUUUUAAAAUUUAAGUCGUAAUUUAGUCUUUUUAAUUUUAAUCUAUAAAUUCCAAAACAUAAAUCUUAAACUAAAUUAGAAAUAACAAAACAUAAUUUUUUAAAAAAUUAUAAACUUUAAAUCCUAAACUAUAAGCAGAAACUUUUAAUCUAAAAUCUAUACUUUAAAUGUAAACUCUAAACCUUAAACCCCAAAACUUAAUCCCAAACCCCAAAACUUAAUCCCAAACCUUAUUCUCCAAACUCUAAAUAUACUUCAAACUUAAAACUUUAGAUAAAAACUUUAAACUUUAUAUCAUAAAUCUAAACUUUGAAUCUAAACUAUAUUUUUGGAAACUUAACUAUGAACUUUAGUAUUAAACCCCAAAUCCUAUCCCCUGACCCCCAAACUCUACUCCCAAAACCCAACACCAUAUUCCCAAAAAUUCAACAAACAUCAAAUCUAAAUCUUAAUAACAAACCUUUAUAUACAACUCUAACCCUUAUACUUUCAAAACUCUAAAUCCCUAAAUCAUAAAGAAUUAUAAUAGAAAGUUUAAAUUUAAAUUCAAGUAUAUAUAUAUAUAUUUUUUUUUUGUCACAGAUUCAAGUAUAUUCUAAGACUCAAAUUAUAUACUUAUUCAGAAUAUAACCAUCAAAAACUUGUAAUUAUUCAACAUGUCUAAGCUUUUAUAUACAACUCUAACCCUUAUACUUUCAAAACUCUAAAUCCCUAAAUCAUAAAGAAUUAUAAUAGAAAGUUUAAAUUUAAAUUCAAGUAUAUAUAUAUAUAUAUAUUUUUUUUUUGUCACAGAUUCAAGUAUAUUCUAAGACUCAAAUUAUAUACUUAUUCAGAAUAUAACCAUCAAAAACUUGUAAUUAUUCAACAUGUCUAAGCUUUUAUUUAGAAUCUCGAAAUUUAAAUUGCAAUUUUUAUUACUUUCUAUAGAUUAUGCACUUUAAUAAUAAAACUAAACAACAUGAUAAUCAAAACACAAAAGAAACACUAAAAGUAAGUGUCAAUCCGUAAACUUCUUUCUCAUUGGUCGAGAAGGGCAAGGAUUACCGGUUAUUAUAUCACAGCCGUCUAUCUCACCUCCUUUUACGUUAUUCUUCUUCUUUUCAAUAGCAAUCCUAGUGAUUCUUUUCUAUUGGCUUAUACAAGAAAAUGGGGAUAACUUCUUUUUGUAAUCUUAACCGUUGAUGAAUUUAAUCUAAGGGACAUAAACAUUUGCUUCUUUUUUUUAAUGGGUUUUCUCUCUCUCGAUCUCUGCUCCUCUCAUCUUCUACCGUAAACCUGAAAGAAAAAUCUCUACUCUAAUCAAGAAACCACCUCUGAAUCGUCGAGUUUGAGUCUUACACCGUUUGAAUUCGAACAUUUCUUUGUAAAGUUCCGAGCUUUACUCAUGGCAGCUUAUGCUCGUACCUUUGCCUCGUCGACCCAUCUCCACCAAACCUUCUCGCCGCCGAUACCUCUUCUCCGACGACAUCACAGCGCCAAACCCACUUCCCGAAUCACCUACAAUAAAUUCGUAGCUCCAUCUUUUCUCCUACUCUGGAAUAAACCCUCCAUCUUUUACGAAGGACUCCACUUCUCACCUCGUUGGUUCAUGUCUCGAGCCCAAGAGAAUCUCCAAUCAAAACAGAAUCUGACAUCGACUAAGCCAUCGAGGAUAAGCAGAAGAUGAAGAAGAUGAAGAACAUCAGCAGACAGAGUGAAGAGGCGGAAGCAGAAGAAUAAGCAACGACGGAGUAGUUUCAUAGAUGGAGGUUGUGGCGGCGGAGGAGGCAGAGCGGGGGAGACGUACGGAGGAGGCGGUGCGAAGGAGUUAUAGGGAUAUUUUUGGUUUUUUUUUUGUUAGAUUUAGUUUUUAAACCCGGUUUAGUUUUUGGUACAUUAUAGUGCUUUUUGCAUAUUUCUAGUCUGGUUACGGUUACUAAAAAUUCUAUUUUUUAAUUUUCUUUUUUUUUACAAUAUUUUCCAAUUCUAUAUCCCAUAAAAAAACAAAAUUAGUAAUUCAAACCGAAAAAUGUGUCAAUAUAGAAAAUAUUAGCUAUUCAGUAUUACCUAGAAUAUAAACGUCAUAGCACAAGUAAAACGCGGUAUUAUAAUAUUCAAUGGCACAAAAAAAUUGCUAUUAAAUGUUCAAAAAUCCAAAAAAAACUGAGUUACAAAAAGGUAUUCUAUGACAAAAAACAAAUGUCAUAACAAAAUAUUUUAUGGCACACGAAAAGUGCCACGUAAAAUAUUUAAAUAGUGAAAAUAAAUCGCUAUAAAUAGGUAUAAUAUAACACAGGACCAACGCUAUAAUAUCUAUAUAUUGUUACAGCACGCGAAAAACGCUACGCUAGGGGGGGGGGGGUCUAUUAUAGCUGCGGCUGUCACGGCGUUCUUCGAAACGCUAUGAAAACGAUAUGAUAGCGUUUAUCGGGUGCUAUUAAUACCGAUAUUUCUUGUAGUGUGAGAAGAAAUCAGACUUGUACUUCAAGGGAUAGAACCAUGAAUAUCUUGAGAAAUUAUCUAUAAAUAUUGCAUAGUAUUUGAACCCUUGUACAUACUCGACAGGAGCUGGACCCCAGAGAUCACAAUGAACCCUCUCUAGGGGUCUAGAACUAGAAGAAGGAAAAGGAAGUCUACUGCUUUUGUCAAGUCUACAUGACUCGCAGAACUUAUUUGAGAAACUACUGAUAGUUAUAGCCUUCUGAGAUGAUAAUUGCUAGAGAAUCUGAUAGUGAGCAUGCCCAAGUCUUCUGUGCCACAUCUCAUCGGUUGCUGAGCUUGACCCUGAAGCAUAAAAGGCCUGAAACAUCGGAUUUCCCAGCUUGUACAGUCCACCAUGAUUACUUCCCAGAGUUAGCAACUUCUUGUUGCCUUAUCAUUCACACGCACACCAUCACAGUCAAACUCAAAGGAGCAAGGAUAGUCUUUGGUAAGCUUAGAAACUGAAACAAGCGAUUUAGCAAUGUCUGGGCAAACCAAAAUAUCCUUGAGAGGUAACAUACCUGAGGUAGAUGGUAGGACUGUGCUACCGGUGUGAGUGAUUGGCAAGAACUCCCCAUUACCAACCAAAACCUGAUCAGUUCCACUGUAAGGCUCAGACUGUUGUAGGUGAUGUGGCGAGCUUGUGACGUGAGUUGUUGCCCCUGAGUCUGCAUACCAGCCGUGGUUAUGUUGAUCAGUGAUGUCUGUGAUUCUCAAGGCCGUAAGAGCAGCAGGCAACUCCUCAUGUUGAUAGCUAUUGUUGAAUCUGUGCCAACAUUUGAGAGCAGGAUGACCUGGUUUCCCACAAAUCUGACACACAACUGAGCCCUGACCUCCAUAAGACCCAGA